This 75-nucleotide transfer RNA is filed under the name Aeromicrobium sp. Its description in RNAcentral is "tRNA-Ala". It matches the Rfam family "tRNA". Rfam says of the family: Transfer RNA (tRNA) molecules are approximately 80 nucleotides in length. The record is from RNAcentral. RNAcentral also lists the same sequence under 4 other names. Lineage: Bacteria; Bacillati; Actinomycetota; Actinomycetes; Propionibacteriales; Nocardioidaceae.
GGGCGAGUGGCGCAACGGGAGCGCACCUGCUUUGCACGCAGGGGGUUGUCGGUUCGAAUCCGAUCUCGUCCACCA